ACGGAAGGCAGCAGUGGGGGAUAUUGCACAAUGGGGGAAACCCUGAUGCAGCGACGCCGCAUGAGUGAAGAAGUAUUUCGGUAUGUAAAGCUCUAUCAGCAGGAAAGAUAAUGACGGUACCUGACUAAGAAGCACCGGCUAAAUACGUGCCAGCAGCCGCGGUAAUACGUAUGGUGCAAGCGUUAUCCGGAUUUACUGGGUGUAAAGGGAGCGCAGACGGCAUGGCAAGCCAGAUGUGAAAGGUGGGGGCUCAACCCCCAAGCUGCAUUUGGAACUGUCAAGCUAGAGUAUCGGAGAGGUAAGUGGAAUCCCUAGUGUAGCGGUGAAAUGCGUAGAUAUUAGGAAGAACACCGGUGGCGAAGGCGGCCUGCUGGACGGUAACUGACGUUGAGGCUCGAAAGCGUGGGGAGCAAACAGGAUUAGAUACCCUGGUA
Molecule: ribosomal RNA, 434 nt
Filed under: uncultured Clostridium sp.
Lineage: Bacteria; Bacillati; Bacillota; Clostridia; Eubacteriales; Clostridiaceae
Description: partial 16S ribosomal RNA
Rfam family: Bacterial small subunit ribosomal RNA
Source: RNAcentral